UAAUUUUAUCGUGACAUGGUAGAAAUGAUGAGCUUGUUUUUUUUAUCUUCUUCCAGACAAAAACGAUACAAAGAAAGGAAAGAAGUGGUGGAGAAGAGCCUCUAAAAAGGAGAGUGAGGGGAAGAAUAGUGACAGUAACAGUGAGGCUGAGUCAAGAAAUAAAUGGUGGAAGAUUUUCAGAAAGAAGCAGUCACAAGAGAAAGGACAUGGAAAGCAAGAAGAGAAAAUCACUACAGAUUCGAGAACAAAAUGGUGGAAGAGGGGCAGCAAGAGUGAGAAGACUCAGGAUGGAAUGGAUGAUAAGACAAAUGGCAAGAGCAGAGGACGGUGCAUCUGUAUGUGAAGAAGAUGCCUACACUACAUCUUGAGAUAGACAGCAGUUAUUCAAGAUGUGUUCAAGUAGUCUUAGAAGACAACUUGAGUCAGCUUUUAUGAUGGUUACUUUCUGUACUGUGUAGAUGAGACUAUUUUAUUUAUUUCUUAUUUAUUCGGGAGCAACAGCACACACUCUUAAAGACACAUGGACAUGGUGCUUUUAACUGUAAAUACUCUGAUAUUGUGUCAUAUACCUUGUUCCUUCCAUGCAGUUAUAUUAUUAGGGACAGGUAGCAAAUACACAGACAAAUGAUGGAAACAGCAUAUAUCUUGACUACCGAUUUAAUGUCGUAUUGGAAGGAUUUUACUUCAAUACCUGAAAGGAUUUUAACACCAAAACAGCUAAUGCAAAAUAUAUCUAUUUUUGUAUGCUUUUUAAGAAUUUUAAAAACAAAGCAAUAUUUAUAUGUCCUUGAAGGAUGAUGAUGGUCAAGACUUUUAUACUGCAAAAUGCAGUUCUGAUGACACAACAUGUCCACCUCAGAAUAAAAUUUUU
Molecule: long non-coding RNA, 871 nt
Organism: Branchiostoma belcheri (Belcher's lancelet)
Lineage: Eukaryota; Metazoa; Chordata; Leptocardii; Amphioxiformes; Branchiostomatidae
Exons: 4
Source: RefSeq, a predicted model, not a curated record